GAACAAAAACCAGCUUUUUUUCCCUCCAUUUUUCAUGCCCAUGUGUUGUACAUUUCACUGCUCUGCUACCACAAGCCAACAGCGAUCAGACGAAAAAGUUCAAGAACAAGUCGCCAACUUUCACAAGAGCCAUAAAGAGUAGAAAGUUUCCAUCCUCUCAGCUCUGGUUUCAGAGGAAAAGACGAAAACACUUUCUAUUUUUGCUUCACAGCAACACAGAAAUGUUAAGGUGGAACUGUGAUACUGCAUCAAAACAAAAAAGGUGGAGGCGUCAGACUGGAGCGGAGCAGGGAGACUGUGGCUUGUGGCAUAUUUUCUACGUCACAUAUACAAUUUGUUCCAAACAGAAUGUUUUUCAUAUGUUCUCCAUUCAAAGUGAUUUGAAUAAAGAGAUACUCAGA
Long non-coding RNA from Oryzias latipes (Japanese medaka), 401 nucleotides. RefSeq lists it as uncharacterized. Lineage: Eukaryota; Metazoa; Chordata; Actinopteri; Beloniformes; Adrianichthyidae. The record is from RefSeq and is a predicted model, not a curated record.